UACAGAGGGUGCGAGCGUUGUUCGGAAUUAUUGGGCGUAAAGGGCGCGUAGGCGGUGCGGUAAGUCACCUGUGAAAUCUCCUGGCUCAACUGGGAGCUUGCAGGCGAAACUGCCGUGCUGGAGUGUGGGAGAGGUGCGUGGAAUUCCUGGUGUGGCGGUGAAAUGCGUAGAUAUCAGGAGGAACACCUGUGGCGAAAGCGGCGCACUGGACCACAACUGACGCUGAGGCGCGAAAGCUAGGGGAGCAAACAGG
This 253-nucleotide ribosomal RNA is filed under the name uncultured bacterium. Its description in RNAcentral is "partial 16S ribosomal RNA". It matches the Rfam family "Bacterial small subunit ribosomal RNA", at positions 524 to 776 of the family's 1533-position model. The record is from RNAcentral.